Molecule: long non-coding RNA, 430 nt
Filed under: Manacus vitellinus (golden-collared manakin)
Lineage: Eukaryota; Metazoa; Chordata; Aves; Passeriformes; Pipridae
Description: lncRNA (ENSMVIG00005017453.1)
Source: RNAcentral
UUUAAUUUCUGUUUUAUUAAUUUUCCCAUAAAUCUACAGACAUACAUUUCAGAGGAUAUAUAUCAAGUAGAUUGUAUCCCCACAAAGAAGCAAUAAAGCGAUUGUUUAUUCUGACAUGCUUCACCAUGAAGAGUUCACACAUUGGAAGGAGCAUUAAAGGAAAAAGAGAUGUGUCCCUCCAUUUUCAUUUGAACUUAUACAUCCUUGAAAACAGAAAAAUGAGGUGCAAUGACAAGAAAAGAAGAGUGGUGUCAUCAGCUUAAGAACAGACACAGAGCCAUAGUGAAAUCACAGAGGACAUCAUGGACAUUUAAGUCCACAAGAGAGUACUGCAAACCCUGAUCUUAUGCAGUGACAGACCGCAGCAGAGCAGGGAGAGGUUUCUCCGAGUAUGAUGUUGUUUCAGGCACACUUGCUCCCUGAACAUUCC